CUAAGAGUGAGAAGAAGAGCAUGGCCGCUAAUUUGGACACACCUCUAAUCCUUCACCUUCUCCAUCCAAAUCCUAAUCCUAACCCUAACCCUAACCCUAGAUUUUACACAGAAAGAAACUUCUUGCUAAGCCCUAUACCAGAGCCAUGGCCCAGUUGCAGAGCAAACCCUAAUUCUGUUCCAGCAGAAACCCUAGGCACCGACGCAUCAGAUGAAGUGCCAGCUACGUGGAAGGAUCGAAGGAAGACAGUGAAAGUCGCUUGGGAGAAGCUUGUGCGGUGGUCUAGGUCAUGGAGGACUAUAAAUGCUAGGGCAAAGAUGGAUGUGCUUGAGCGAACCAGAAAGGUUGCAGUCCUUGGCGGGGGAUCUUUUGGCACCGCAAUGGCAGCUUUACUUGCAGGGAAUAAGGCUGAUAUGGAGGUUACUAUGCUUGUUAGGGAUGAACAUGUCUGCCAAUCAAUCAAUGAAGAAAAUUGUAACUGCAACCACUUACCAGAUUACAAGCUACCUGGAAAUAUUAGAGCUACACUAGAUGCAAAAGAUGCUUUGCAGGGAUCUGAUUUUUGCAUACAUGCGGUUCCUGUGCAGUUCAGUGCAUCUUUUCUACGAGGGAUUUCACGGCAUGUUGAUCCCAAAAUGCCCUUCAUAUCACUGAGCAAGGGCUUAGAACUCAAUACUUUAAGAAUGAUGUCCCAAAUCAUUCCACAAGAAUUGGGAAACCCAAACCAGCCUCUUGUUGUGUUAUCGGGCCCAUCUUUUGCAGUAGAAUUGAUGAAGAAAUUGCCUACAGCAAUGGUGGCCGCAUCAAAGGACAAGAGGUUGGCACUUGCUGCGCAGCAGCUAUUUGCUUCUCAAUACCUGAGGAUCAGCACAUCUAGUGAUGUCACAGGGGUCGAAAUUGCUGGUGCUCUAAAAAAUGUGCUUGCAAUAGCAGCAGGGAUUGUGGAAGGGAUGAAUCUCGGAAAUAAUUGUAUGGCAGCUCUUGUUGCACAAGGUUGUUCAGAGAUACGAUGGUUAGCAACCAAGAUGGGUGCGAAGCCAACAACACUCACAGGUUUAUCAGGAACUGGAGACAUAAUGCUCACCUGUUUUGUUAGCCUUUCAAGAAACAGAACAGUUGGGGUUCGUCUUGGAUCAGGAGAGAAACUUGAUAUGAUUUUAAGUUCCAUGAACCAGCUCUCUUAUAGGUUGCUGAAGGUGUAUCAACUGCAGGCGCUGUUAUUGCCUUGGCACAAAAAUACAAUGUAAAGAUGCCAGUUUUGACGGCUGUGGCUCGGAUCGUGGACAAUGAAUUGACUCCAAAGAAAGCUGUUAUGGAACUGAUGAACCUGCCUCAGAUUGAGGAGGUGUAGGCGCCAAAGUAACAGCAAGUUUUGGGUAUAUACACAAUUCAAUCAUCGUUGAGGUCUGUAAAUCUUUCCGGCAAGCAUGUGCACUGAAGGAGGAAAAUCUUUAUACCAUCUAGAAUUGCAUUUCCAAAAUGUUAUUCAAUUCAAAUGAAAAUAGAAACUGCACCGAGACUGUAAAAUUUGGAACGGUUGGUCUUGUAGUAGAACAUUGCAGAAAUUGAAAAUGUUCUCAAAUGAUAUUGAAAAUUGAGUGGUAUGCAGAAGGAAAAGAGAUUGCAGAAAUUGCUGAAAUCGAAAAUGUUCUCAAAUGAUAUUGAAAA
Molecule: RNA transcript, 1668 nt
Organism: Amborella trichopoda
Lineage: Eukaryota; Viridiplantae; Streptophyta; Magnoliopsida; Amborellales; Amborellaceae
Gene: GLY1
Gene name: NAD-dependent glycerol-3-phosphate dehydrogenase family protein
Source: RefSeq, a predicted model, not a curated record